UGAGGAAUAUUGGUCAAUGGGCGAGAGCCUGAACCAGCCAAGUAGCGUGCAGGAUGACGGCCCUAUGGGUUGUAAACUGCUUUUAUGUGGGGAUAAAGUGCGUGACGUGUCAUGCAUUGCAGGUACCACAUGAAUAAGGACCGGCUAAUUCCGUGCCAGCAGCCGCGGUAAUACGGAAGGUCCGGGCGUUAUCCGGAUUUAUUGGGUUUAAAGGGAGCGUAGGCUGUCUAUUAAGCGUGUUGUGAAAUAUACCGGCUCAACCGGUGGCUUGCAGCGCGAACUGGUCGACUUGAGUAUGCAGGAAGUAGGCGGAACUCAUGGUGUAGCGGUGAAAUGCUUAGAUAUCAUGACGAACUCCGAUUGCGCAGGCAGCUUACUGUAGCAUAACUGACGCUGAUGCUCGAAAGUGCGGGUAUCAAACAGG
This 424-nucleotide ribosomal RNA is filed under the name Verrucomicrobiota bacterium. Its description in RNAcentral is "Verrucomicrobia bacterium partial 16S ribosomal RNA". It matches the Rfam family "Bacterial small subunit ribosomal RNA", at positions 355 to 776 of the family's 1533-position model. Lineage: Bacteria; Pseudomonadati; Verrucomicrobiota. The record is from RNAcentral.